RNAcentral lists this ribosomal RNA (290 nucleotides) under uncultured bacterium. RNAcentral's name for it is "partial 16S ribosomal RNA". It matches the Rfam family "Bacterial small subunit ribosomal RNA", at positions 397 to 699 of the family's 1533-position model. The record is from RNAcentral.
CCGCGUGCGGGAUGAAGGCCUUCGGGUUGUAAACCGCUUUCAGUAGGGAAGAAGCGAAAGUGACGGUACCUACAAAAGAAGCACCGGCUAACUAUGUGCCAGCAGCCGCGGUAAUACAUAGGGUGCAAGCGUUGUCCGGAAUUAUUGGGCGUAAAGAGCUCGUAGGUGGUUUAUCACGUCGGAUGUGAAAUUCUGAGGCUCAACCUCGGACCUGCAUUCGAUACGGGCAAACUAGAGUUUGGUAGGGGAGACUGGAAUUCCUGGUGUAGCGGUGGAACGCGCAGAUAUCA